GACGAACGCUGGCGGCGUGCUUAACACAUGCAAGUCGAACGGAAAGGCCCUGCUUUUGUGGGGUGCUCGAGUGGCGAACGGGUGAGUAACACGUGAGUAACCUGCCCUUGACUUUGGGAUAACUUCAGGAAACUGGGGCUAAUACCGGAUAGGAGCUCCUGCUGCAUGGUGGGGGUUGGAAAGUUUCGGCGGUUGGGGAUGGACUCGCGGCUUAUCAGCUUGUUGGUGAGGUAGUGGCUUACCAAGGCUUUGACGGGUAGCCGGCCUGGGAGGGUGACCGGCCACAUUGGGACUGAGAUACGGCCCAGACUGCUACGGGAGGCAGCAGUGGGGAAUAUUGCACAAUGGGCGGAAGCCUGAUGCAGCAACGCCGCGUGCGGGAUGACGGCCUUCGGGUUGUAAACCGCUUUCGCCGGUGACGAAGCGUGAGUGACGGUAAUGGGUAAAGAAGCACCGGCUAACUACGUG
RNAcentral lists this ribosomal RNA (468 nucleotides) under uncultured bacterium. RNAcentral describes it as "partial 16S ribosomal RNA". It matches the Rfam family "Bacterial small subunit ribosomal RNA", at positions 28 to 507 of the family's 1533-position model. The record is from RNAcentral.